RNAcentral lists this transfer RNA (68 nucleotides) under Pollachius pollachius (pollack). RNAcentral's name for it is "transfer RNA-Gly". Lineage: Eukaryota; Metazoa; Chordata; Actinopteri; Gadiformes; Gadidae. The record is from RNAcentral.
UCUUUCUAGUACUAAGCAGUAUAAGUGGCUUCCAACCACACGGUCUUGGUUAAAGUCCAAGGAAAGAU